AGUGAACGCUGGCGGUAGGCCUAACACAUGCAAGUCGAACGGCAGCACGGUAAGAGCUUGCUCUUACGGGUGGCGAGUGGCGGACGGGUGAGGAAUACAUCGGAAUCUACUUUUUCGUGGGGGCUAACGUAGGGAAACUUACGCGAAUACCGCAUACGACCUACGGGUGAAAGCCGGGGAUCUUCGGACCUUGUGCGAUUGAAUAAGCCGAUGUCGGGUUAGCUAGUUGGCGGGGUAAAGGCACACCAAGGCGACGAUCCGUAGCUGGUCUGAGAGGAUGAUCAGCCAGACUGGAAGUGAGACACAGUCCAGACUCCGACGGGAGGCAACAGUGGGGAAUAUUGGACAAUGGGGGCAAGCCGGAUACAGCCAUACCGCGUGGGUGAAGAAGGCCUUCUGGUUGGAAAGCCCUUUUGUUGGGAGAGUAAAGCAGCAGGUUAAUACCCCGCUGUUCUGACGGUACCCAAAGAAUAAGCUCCGGCUAACUUCGUG
This 492-nucleotide ribosomal RNA is filed under the name uncultured bacterium. RNAcentral describes it as "partial 16S ribosomal RNA". It matches the Rfam family "Bacterial small subunit ribosomal RNA", at positions 29 to 507 of the family's 1533-position model. The record is from RNAcentral.